Molecule: ribosomal RNA, 1011 nt
Filed under: uncultured Labedella sp.
Lineage: Bacteria; Bacillati; Actinomycetota; Actinomycetes; Micrococcales; Microbacteriaceae
Description: bacterial SSU rRNA
Rfam family: Bacterial small subunit ribosomal RNA
Source: RNAcentral
GAUUCCUACGGGAGGCAGCAGUGGGGAAUAUUGCACAAUGGGCGAAAGCCUGAUGCAGCAACGCCGCGUGAGGGACGACGGCCUUCGGGUUGUAAACCUCUUUUAGUAGGGAAGAAGCGAAAGUGACGGUACCUGCAGAAAAAGCACCGGCUAACUACGUGCCAGCAGCCGCGGUAAUACGUAGGGUGCAAGCGUUGUCCGGAAUUAUUGGGCGUAAAGAGCUCGUAGGCGGUUUGUCGCGUCUGCUGUGAAAACCCGAGGCUCAACCUCGGGCCUGCAGUGGGUACGGGCAGACUAGAGUGCGGUAGGGGAGAUUGGAAUUCCUGGUGUAGCGGUGGAAUGCGCAGAUAUCAGGAGGAACACCAAUGGCGAAGGCAGAUCUCUGGGCCGUAACUGACGCUGAGGAGCGAAAGCAUGGGGAGCGAACAGGAUUAGAUACCCUGGUAGUCCAUGCCGUAAACGUUGGGAACUAGAUGUGGGGACCAUUCCACGGUCUCCGUGUCGCAGCUAACGCAUUAAGUUCCCCGCCUGGGGAGUACGGCCGCAAAGCUAAAACUCAAAGGAAUUGACGGGGGCCCGCACAAGCGGCGGAGCAUGCGGAUUAAUUCGAUGCAACGCGAAGAACCUUACCAAGGCUUGACAUAUAGAGGAAACGUCUGGAAACAGUCGCCCCGCAAGGUCUCUAUACAGGUGGUGCAUGGUUGUCGUCAGCUCGUGUCGUGAGAUGUUGGGUUAAGUCCCGCAACGAGCGCAACCCUCGUCCUAUGUUGCCAGCACGUAAUGGUGGGAACUCAUGGGAUACUGCCGGGGUCAACUCGGAGGAAGGUGGGGAUGACGUCAAAUCAUCAUGCCCCUUAUGUCUUGGGCUUCACGCAUGCUACAAUGGCCGGUACAAAGGGCUGCAAUACCGCAAGGUGGAGCGAAUCCCAAAAAGCCGGUCUCAGUUCGGAUUGAGGUCUGCAACUCGACCUCAUGAAGUCGGAGUCGCUAGUAAUCGAUCCAUAUGACUAG